Molecule: ribosomal RNA, 253 nt
Filed under: uncultured prokaryote
Description: partial 16S ribosomal RNA
Rfam family: Bacterial small subunit ribosomal RNA
Source: RNAcentral
UACAGAGGGUGCGAGCGUUGUCCGGAAUCACUGGGCGUAAAGGGCGCGUAGGUGGCGGCCCAAGUCUGUGGUGAAAGCUCGAUGCUUAACAUCGAGUCGGCCACGGAGACUGGGUGGCUCGAGCACUGUAGGGGCAGAUGGAAUUCCGGGUGUAGCGGUGGAAUGCGUAGAGAUCCGGAAGAACACCAGUGGCGAAGGCGGUCUGCUGGGCAGUUGCUGACACUGAUGCGCGACAGCGUGGGGAGCAAACAGG